This is a non-coding RNA of Nicotiana tabacum (common tobacco), 222 nucleotides long. The record is from RefSeq and is a predicted model, not a curated record. NCBI's taxonomy places the organism in Eukaryota, Viridiplantae, Streptophyta, Magnoliopsida, Solanales, Solanaceae.
UUAGCCCACCGGUUCUGCUCUGGUUUUUACUUCUUGUCACCUUUCUCUACCGUUAAUAUAAAUAUCUUCAACCUUGUUCUCAAAAUCUAAAUUUUCUUUUCACAUGCAAACAAACAGCAUAUAAACCAUGGACCAACACUUGAUGAGCAACAAUAGUAGAAACGCGGUUCAAAAUCGCGAGACAUUUCACAAGUUUUUCGAGUCAUGGCUUGUUGAACAAAA